This 738-nucleotide ribosomal RNA is filed under the name uncultured Lactarius. RNAcentral's name for it is "eukaryotic LSU rRNA". The stretch from base 285 to 438 matches the Rfam family "5.8S ribosomal RNA". The record is from RNAcentral. Lineage: Eukaryota; Fungi; Basidiomycota; Agaricomycetes; Russulales; Russulaceae.
GAGUAAAGUCGUAACAAGGUUUCCGUAGGUGAACCUGCGGAAGGGAUCAUUAUCGUACAACGUGCGUCGAGGGCGUGCGAGGGCUGUCGCUGACUUUUUGUUGACGCAAAAGUCGUGCACGCCGGAGCGCGUCCUCUCGCAUAAAAUCCAUCUCACCCUUUUGUGCACCACCGCGUGGGCACCUUUUGGGAUCGAACCGAUCCUGGAGGGGGCUUGCGUUUUCACACAAACCCCUUUUAAAAAGUGUAGAAUGACCCCAUUUUGCGAUGACACGCAAUCAAUACAACUUUCAACAACGGAUCUCUUGGCUCUCGCAUCGAUGAAGAACGCAGCGAAAUGCGAUACGUAAUGUGAAUUGCAGAAUUCAGUGAAUCAUCGAAUCUUUGAACGCACCUUGCGCCCCUUGGUAUUCCGAGGGGCACACCCGUUUGAGUGUCGUGAAAUUCUCAACCUUCUCGGUUUUCUUCUGGACACCGAAGGAGGCUUGGACAUUGGAGGCCUUUGCUGGCGUCUCUUAGACCCAGCUCCUCUUAAAUGAAUUAGCGGGGUCCUCUUUGCCGAUCCUUGACAUGUGAUAAGAUGUUUCCAUGACUUGGUUUCUGGCUCUGUUGCAUUUGGGACCCGCUUCUAACCGUCUCGACGAGACAACGUUUGGGCGUGUCUCCCUUCUCGGGAGACUCUCUCAACCCCCACGAACCCUUGACCUCAAAUCGGGUGAGACUACCCGCUGAACUUAGC